Non-coding RNA from Dermacentor andersoni, 2755 nucleotides. The record is from RefSeq and is a predicted model, not a curated record. Lineage: Eukaryota; Metazoa; Arthropoda; Arachnida; Ixodida; Ixodidae.
UUGAUGUGAUGGAAGGGUUCCUACUUUGCUGGGAAUCAAGUUGCACGAUUUGAAGGGGCGUGAACGUUUUGUUUCGGAUUGUCACGUUCGAGCAGUUAUUGACGGAGGCCUUCAGAUUGCAAGUUUUGUUAGGCUUCUUAGCAGCAUUUUUUUUUUUGCCUCUUUACUACUUGAACAUGGUACUGACUUUGAAGCUACGACGGGAGCCUUCCAUUACAUACUCGAUGUGCGGUUGCGAUGCUAUAUUCAUCACUAUGCAUGCUCUGUAUUGUAAUAUGAUCGCGUAAAUAACACUCUCAGGCUGCGCCUACAGGCGAAAAAUAAGCGAAACCACAAAAAUAUCGCAUGAAAGUCGCCUCAACACCGUUCGUUGACCUUCCAAAUUGAGCGGGAAAAAAUGCUGAUGGCCCCACGUUUAGCUCAUUGAAGUGUGUCCACACCACUGUUAGGCUUGAAGGCAAUGCAAAUAAUAGCAGCAGUAGGCAGCAUACAAGUGCAGUCGCCGAAGGUAACGGCCGGACGCCUGCAGCUGAGGUCUCUCUUGUAAAAUGAUGACAGUAGAGCAGAAGUUUUAUGAUGCUGUCUCAAGGGAAGCCACAAGCGAGUAAAAAUUACCAGCAGCUCAUUGAACUUUUUAUGUCGUUCAUGACGGGCACUGCAUGCUAUUUUGAAUCUAAAAAUAUAUCUUCACACAUUAGCUAAAUGAAACUUGCAAUUUCAAGGUUAAGCAAUUUAGUACUGAAUGACUCGUUUCAGUGUUCCUGUGUGAAAUGUAAAAAGCUUAUCUGCAAAUCAUGAGUACUCGAAACCAUUGAGACCGCCAAUCCCUGUGUGAGCAGCGGGAUCUUUCCCUGAGGUAGCAUGAAGGAAGUUCUGUAGCUGCGAUCUCAUCAGCCAACUUUCUGCAUGGGAAUCCCAGUUGUCCGUAGAAGAUUGCAACAAGUACAGCCAAACCUCAUUGUAAUGAAACAGGAUAUAACGAAAUAAUGGUUAUAAUGAAAUAAGGACAAUUUCCCUUGAAAUCAUCUAAGGGAUUUGUAUUGCAGUACAUGCAGUGAUUGAAUAAACAAGUAAUUGAUUUAAGGAAGUAGUUCUGGCUCCCCCUUCAACUUCGUUACAGUGAGGUUUUACUGUAUUCCAGGGUGGAAAUCAAGCCUUUGCAGAUUGCAGGAAUGGUUGGCCUCCUAAUCAAAACAUGACUCCAGGGCCCACAACAACCUUUUUGUGGUAGGCUAGCCACAGUUCAGUUCUCAUUCCAAGUGGUAACUUUUGAAAACACCACAAAUCAGUUUUGUGUGUGUGUGGUAUGGUAAAGGUACAGUUUUUGCAGCCAUGAUUUAGGCAAAAUAAGUCUUCUAGAACUUUGGUCACUGGAGUGAUAUAUUCAAUCAAGAGGGCAUUGUAAUUGCCCCUUUUCUGCCUUUCAAGCUUACAAUUCCUUCCAAGUCUUAACCUAUUCUUUCUCUUCACUGUUUGCUUUAUUGGGAAAUAGUGUAUUGCAUUUAGUGAUGUUCUAAAAAAAGAAAAACUAAGCGGUCCCUGUACCCAUUUUAUAAACAUCUGAAUUACCAUUUUAACAAGGAAUCUUUAAAAUUUUUGGUGCAUAGAGAAUUACAGUUUCUAAAUUCUCCGUGAGAGAGCGAGAGAGCAAAUGAUAAAUUAAAGGCAGGGAGGUUAACCAGGACUGAGUCCGGUUGGCCACCCUACGCUGGGGAAAGGGAAAAGAGGAGGGAACAAAUAAAAGAAGUCCACUUGGGAUAUUGAUCGGUCACUCAGUCCGGAUCACAGACGGUGACUCAAUCCAGUAGCUUUCAAAUAUCGUAGCAGCGCUAUUGUGGCUUUUUUGUAGCUGCAAUAUGCGAGGCCAUGGUCCCAAGAUCUUGUUCAAGGUGAACAGUUUUCUAUCUGAUUUAGAGCUGUGUAGAGGUCAUGUCUUUCAUUUUCAAAAGAUGUGCGGUAGCUCAGUAGAUGUUCUAUAGUCUCCUCAACACCACAGGCAUUGCACUCGGCGCUAUCAGCCAUUCCAGUCAAACACAAAUAUGCAUUGGUGAAUGCGACGCCCAAGUGUAAGCGGAACAGCAUUGUUCACUCUUUUUUCGGAAGCCCAGGUAACAGCCGCAGCUGCAUAGAUCGGUCAAGGGAAUGCAAUCGAUGUUGGGUGAAUUCAGGUGUGUACCGCUUCUCCAAUUUCAUGCCGUGCGCUAGCUUGCUUAAGUGUUGUGCUUCGUCAGUCCCCGAUAAAAGUACAGAAUCAAGGGUUGCUCCUUCGUGUGCUUUCCUCUCAGCUUCGCCGGCGAGGUCGUUGCCGGAGCUACCGCAAUGGUCUGGCAGCCACUGAAACCUGACAUUGUGUCCUUUCGCGAUCAUAUGAUGGUGCAUUUCUCGUAUCUCCAACACUAGUUGUUCACAGGACCUGCGUCGAAGAGCUGACAAGACACUGUAAGGCCACCUUCGAGUGGCAGAAUAUUGCCCGCCAAUUAGACGGUUGGUUGUUAAUAUAAUCAAAUGGCACCUCAGACUGCAACAUGUUCCGAACUGGUCGAUGUUGUCAUGUGAGAACUCUUGUAUCAGAUGCUUAUUGAUCGUGAUGGUAUAACCAUUGCGCCAGUGGAGCUGGUUUUAUUGGAAGUGCCAUUCGUAUAUAUCUGUGGACUAAAGUAUCUGUAAAGAAGUUGCAUUUACUAAGGACCUGUGCUCUUCCGUCAUACUGAAUCACAUUUGUAUUUAUGAAAUAAACUGCAUUUUUUACUGCUCC